This 403-nucleotide ribosomal RNA is filed under the name uncultured bacterium. RNAcentral's name for it is "bacterial SSU rRNA". It matches the Rfam family "Bacterial small subunit ribosomal RNA", at positions 107 to 507 of the family's 1533-position model. The record is from RNAcentral.
UGCGGAACACGUGUGCAACCUACCUUUAUCUUGGGGAUAGCCUUUCGAAAGGGAAGAUUAAUACCUGAUAAUAUAUAAUAUGGCAUCAUAACAUAUUGAAAAGCUCCGGCGGAUUAGAGAUGGGCACGCGCAAGAUUAGUUAGUUGGUGAGGCAACGGCUCACCAAGACGAUGAUCUUUAGGGGGGCCUGAGAGGGUGAUCCCCACACUGGUACUGAGACACGGACCAGACUCCUACGGGAGGCAGCAGUGAGGAAUAUUGGACAAUGGGUGCAAGCCUGAUCCAGCCAUCCCGCGUGAAGGACGACUGCCUAUGGGUUGUAAACUUCUUUUGUAUAGGGAUAAACCUCUCCUCGUGAGGAGAGCUGAAGGUACUAUACGAAUAAGCACCGGCUAACUCCGUG